GAUGAAGAACGUAGCGAAAUGCGAUACGUAGUGUGAAUUGCAGAAUUCAGUGAAUCAUCGAAUCUUUGAACGCACAUUGCACCUCUCGGUAUUCCGGGAGGUAUGCCUGUUCGAGCGUCAUUUGUACCCUCAAGCUCUGCUUGGUGUUGGGUGUUUGUUCCGCCUCUGUGUGUGAACUCGCCUCAAAACAAUUGGCAGCCAGCGUACUUGUUUCGGAGCGCAGCACAUUUUGCGAUCCAGAUCAACGUACAGCGGCAUCCAAGAAGCCUUAUUUAACGCUCUUGACCUCGGAUCAGGUAGGGAUACCCGCUGAACUUAAGCAUAUCAAUAAGCGGAGGA
Molecule: unclassified non-coding RNA, 339 nt
Filed under: soil metagenome
Description: partial contains 5.8S ribosomal RNA, internal transcribed spacer 2, and large subunit ribosomal RNA
Rfam family: 5.8S ribosomal RNA (bases 1-120)
Source: RNAcentral